Molecule: ribosomal RNA, 301 nt
Filed under: uncultured bacterium
Lineage: Bacteria
Description: partial 16S ribosomal RNA
Rfam family: Bacterial small subunit ribosomal RNA
Source: RNAcentral
CAGUAGCCACGGUAACACGUAGGGUGCAAGCGUUAAUCGGAAUUACUGGGCGUAAAGCGUGCGCAGGCGGUUAUAUAAGACAGAUGUGAAAUCCCCGGGCUCAACCUGGGAACUGCAUUUGUGACUGUAUAGCUAGAGUACGGCAGAGGGGGAUGGAAUUCCGCGUGUAGCAGUGAAAUGCGUAGAUAUGCGGAGGAACACCGAUGGCGAAGGCAAUCCCCUGGGCCUGUACUGACGCUCAUGCACGAAAGCGUGGGGAGCAAACAGGAUUAGAUACCCCAGUAGUCCCUGUCUCUUAUAC